UACGUAGGCAGCAAGCGUUGUUCGGAGUUACUGGGCGUAAAGGGUGCGUAGGCGGCUUUUUAAGUUUGGUGUGAAAUCUCCCGGCUCAACUGGGAGGGUGCGCCGAAUACUGAGAGGCUAGAGUGUGGGAGAGGAAAGUGGAAUUCCUGGUGUAGCGGUGAAAUGCGUAGAUAUCAAGAGGAACACCAGUGGCGAAGGCGAGUCCCUGGACAACACCUGACACUGAGGCACGAAAGCUAGGGGAGCAAACAGG
This 253-nucleotide ribosomal RNA is filed under the name uncultured bacterium. RNAcentral's name for it is "partial 16S ribosomal RNA". It matches the Rfam family "Bacterial small subunit ribosomal RNA", at positions 524 to 776 of the family's 1533-position model. The record is from RNAcentral.